This 72-nucleotide transfer RNA is filed under the name Taenia asiatica. It matches the Rfam family "tRNA". From Rfam's summary of the family: Transfer RNA (tRNA) molecules are approximately 80 nucleotides in length. Their secondary structure includes four short double-helical elements and three loops (D, anti-codon, and T loops). The record is from Rfam by way of RNAcentral. Lineage: Eukaryota; Metazoa; Platyhelminthes; Cestoda; Cyclophyllidea; Taeniidae.
GACUCCGUGACGCAACUAUAGUGCAUCCGACUCCAGAUCAGAAGGCUGCGUGUUCAAAUCACGUCGGGGUCA